This 20-nucleotide non-coding RNA is filed under the name Arabidopsis thaliana (thale cress). Lineage: Eukaryota; Viridiplantae; Streptophyta; Magnoliopsida; Brassicales; Brassicaceae. The record is from RNAcentral.
CUACUGAUGCCCGCGUCGCG